GAAGCUGCAGUGUGGGGAUGCUCUGACCGAGUUCAGCCCCCAGUGUCUUUCCUCCACCUCCUCCUGCAGCGGCAGCAUCGGCAGUUAGCAGUGGGCAACUUGAGGCUGUAACCAGGGCAAGCCCCCAGGGUCCUGCUCACCCGACAGGGGGCUCAGCUCCCCAAAGGGGUGUGUGCAGGGCGGGGGCGGCCAGCUGGGACCAGCUGGUGGCCCUAGAAAACCUCACCCACACCCACACACCCCUUUUGUGUUGCAGGCUGCCCCUCUGAGAGCGGAGGCAGCGAGAGUACUCGCGUGCCUCGCACCGGUCCGCGGUGAGAGCUGCGGGGACCAAGACUCGCACCACCUCCCGGUCCUCGCUCCAGGUAAGGCAG
This 374-nucleotide long non-coding RNA is filed under the name Rattus norvegicus (Norway rat). Its description in RNAcentral is "long non-coding RNA NONRATT026726". The record is from RNAcentral. Lineage: Eukaryota; Metazoa; Chordata; Mammalia; Rodentia; Muridae.